UCUUGGUCAUUUAGAGGAAGUAAAAGUCGUAACAAGGUCUCCGUUGGUGAACCAGCGGAGGGAUCAUUAUCGAGUUAUUCAACUCCCAAACCCUAUGUGAACUUACCACUUGUUGCUUCGGCGCGCGCUUCGGCGCCGCCGAGGACACUUAAACUCUUUGUUUUUAUAAGCAUUUCUGAGUGGCCGAAAGGCAAAAAUACAAAUGAAUCAAAACUUUCAACAACGGAUCUCUUGGUUCUGGCAUCGAUGAAGAACGCAGCGAAAUGCGAUAAGUAAUGUGAAUUGCAGAAUUCAGUGAAUCAUCGAAUCUUUGAACGCACAUUGCGCCCGCCAGCAUUCUGGCGGGCAUGCCUGUUCGAGCGUCAUUUCAACCCUCGAGCCCGACUCUUUUGAGGACGGCUCGGCGUUGGGGGACGGCAGACUCCCCCCGGCAUCUCGCCGGGGACGCCGCCCCCGAAAUCUAGUGGCGGCCCUCCGAGGCGACCUCUGCGUAGUAACUUGUUCUCGCACCGGAAAGCUCAGAGCGGCCACGCCGUAAAACCCCAACUUUUUUCAGGUUGACCUCGAAUCAGGUAGGACUAC
Molecule: ribosomal RNA, 582 nt
Filed under: uncultured eukaryote
Lineage: Eukaryota
Description: eukaryotic LSU rRNA
Rfam family: 5.8S ribosomal RNA (bases 212-365)
Source: RNAcentral